Molecule: ribosomal RNA, 816 nt
Filed under: uncultured organism
Description: bacterial SSU rRNA
Rfam family: Bacterial small subunit ribosomal RNA
Source: RNAcentral
AAUACAUGCAAGUCGAACGAGAAGCCUUGGAUUUAUCUAAGGUGGAGAGUGGCGCACGGGUGAGUAACACAUGGCUGACCUGCCCCUCAGAGGGGGACAACCGGUGGAAACGCCGGCUAAUACCCCAUGCUUGCGUCCGGGUUAGAGGCCGGAUGCAGAAAGGCCGAGGCGCUGAGGGAGGGGGCUGUGGACCAUCAGCUAGUUGGUAGGGUAACGGCCUACCAAGGCGAGGACGGAUAGGGGGCCUGAGAGGGUGACCCCCCACACGGGCACUGAGACACGGGCCCGACUCCUACGGGAGGCAGCAGUAAGGGAUAUUGCGACAAUGGGCGAAAGCCUGACGCAGCAACGCCGCGUGGAGGAUGAAGGCCUUCGGGUUGUAAACUCCUUUUCUGUGGGAAGAGGAAGGACGGUACCACAGGAAGAAGUCUCGGCUAACUACGUGCCAGCAGCCGCGGUAAAACGUAGGAGGCGAGCGUUAUCCGGAUUUACUGGGUGUAAAGCGCGUGCAGGCGGUCUGGUAAGUCGAGCGUGAAAGCUCCCGGCUCAACCGGGAGAGGACGUGCGAAACUGCGAGGCUAGAGACAGGUAGAGGCGUACGGAAUUCCGGGUGUAGUGGUGAAAUGCGUAGAUAUCCGGAGGAACACCAGUGGCGAAGGCGGUACGCUGGGCCUGGUCUGACGCUAAGACGCGAAAGCAUGGGGAGCGAACGGGAUUAGAAACCCCGGUAGUCCAUGCCGUAAACGAUGCUAACUAGGUGUUGCGGGUAACAGACCGGCAGUGCCGGAGUUAACGCGAUAAGUUAGCCACCUGGGG